AUACAACUUUCAGCAACGGAUCUCUUGGCUCUCGCAUCGAUGAAGAACGCAGCGAAAUGCGAUAAGUAAUGUGAAUUGCAGAAUUCAGUGAAUCAUCGAAUCUUUGAACGCACCUUGCGCUCCUUGGUAUUCCAAGGAGCACGCCUGUUUGAGUGUUGUGAACUCUAACCUGCAAACUUACUUGCAGGCUUGGA
Molecule: ribosomal RNA, 194 nt
Filed under: Polyporus umbellatus
Lineage: Eukaryota; Fungi; Basidiomycota; Agaricomycetes; Polyporales; Polyporaceae
Description: 5.8S ribosomal RNA
Rfam family: 5.8S ribosomal RNA (bases 5-158)
About the family: 5.8S ribosomal RNA (5.8S rRNA) is a component of the large subunit of the eukaryotic ribosome. It is transcribed by RNA polymerase I as part of the 45S precursor that also contains 18S and 28S rRNA. Functionally, it is thought that 5.8S rRNA may be involved in ribosome translocation.
Source: RNAcentral